AUUGAACGCUGGCGGCAGGCCUAACACAUGCAAGUCGAACGAGUGGCGGACGGGUGAGUAAUGUCUGGGAAACUGCCCGAUGGAGGGGGAUAACUACUGGAAACGGUAGCUAAUACCGCAUACCAUCGGAUGUGCCCAGAUGGGAUUAGCUUGUAGGUGCGGUAACGGCUCACCUAGGCGACGAUCCCUAGCUGGUCUGAGAGGAUGACCAGCCACACUGGAACUGAGACACUGUCAAGACGCCUACGUGAGGCAGCAGGGGGGAAUAUUGCACAAGGGGCGGAAGCCUGAUGCAGCCAUGCCGCGUGUAUGAAGAAGGCCGUCGGGUUGUAAAGUACGUUCAGCGGGGAGGCGUUAUCCGCAGAAGAAGAACCGGCUAACUCCGUUCCAGCAGCCGCGGUAAUAC
This 406-nucleotide ribosomal RNA is filed under the name uncultured bacterium. RNAcentral's name for it is "partial 16S ribosomal RNA". It matches the Rfam family "Bacterial small subunit ribosomal RNA", at positions 30 to 526 of the family's 1533-position model. The record is from RNAcentral.